CACGUAGGCACCAAGCGUUGUCCGGAUUUAUUGGGCGUAAAGAGCUCGUAGGCGGUUCAGUAAGUCGGGUGUGAAAACUCUAGGCUCAACCCAGAGACGCCACCCGAUACUGCUGUGACUUGAGUACGGUAGGGGAGUGGGGAAUUCCUGGUGUAGCGGUGAAAUGCGCAGAUAUCAGGAGGAACACCAGUGGCGAAGGCGCCACUCUGGGCCGUAACUGACGCUGAGGAGCGAAAGCGUGGGUAGCAAACAGG
RNAcentral lists this ribosomal RNA (254 nucleotides) under uncultured bacterium. RNAcentral describes it as "partial 16S ribosomal RNA". It matches the Rfam family "Bacterial small subunit ribosomal RNA", at positions 524 to 776 of the family's 1533-position model. The record is from RNAcentral.